UGGUUCUGGCAUNGAUGAAGAACGCAGCGAAAUGCGAAAAGUAAUGUGAAUUGCAGAAUUCAGUGAAUCAUCGAAUCUUUGAACGCACAUUGCGCCCUCUGGUAUUCCAGGGGGCAUGCCUGUCCGAGCGUCGUUGCAACCCUCAAGCAUGGCUUGGUAUUGGGCCCUUCGUCCCUAACGGGACGUGCCCGAAAAGUAGUGGGUAUCUGGUGAGGCUUUGGGCGUAGUAAGACUUUCCGCUCUGAAAGCUCUCCACCUCGAUGCCUAGGAGCAUAUUAGUACCGAUAAAUUGACCUCGGAUCAGGUAGGGAUACCCGCUGA
RNAcentral lists this unclassified non-coding RNA (321 nucleotides) under uncultured fungus. Its description in RNAcentral is "partial contains 5.8S ribosomal RNA and internal transcribed spacer 2". The stretch from base 1 to 133 matches the Rfam family "5.8S ribosomal RNA", at positions 22 to 154 of the family's 154-position model. The record is from RNAcentral. Lineage: Eukaryota; Fungi.